RNAcentral lists this ribosomal RNA (449 nucleotides) under uncultured bacterium. Its description in RNAcentral is "partial 16S ribosomal RNA". It matches the Rfam family "Bacterial small subunit ribosomal RNA", at positions 29 to 523 of the family's 1533-position model. The record is from RNAcentral.
AACGAACGCUGGCGGCAUGCCUAACACAUGCAAGUCGAACGAGAUCUUCGGGUCUAGUGGCGCACGGGUGCGUAACGCGUGGGAAUCUGCCCUUUGGUUCGGAAUAACAGUUGGAAACGACUGCUAAUACCGGAUGAUGACGAAAGUCCAAAGAUUUAUCGCCAGAGGAUGAGCCCGCGUAGGAUUAGCUAGUUGGUGUGGUAAAGGCGCACCAAGGCGACGAUCCUUAGCUGGUCUGAGAGGAUGAUCAGCCACACUGGGACUGAGACACGGCCCAGACUCCUACGGGAGGCAGCAGUGGGGAAUAUUGGACAAUGGGCGAAAGCCUGAUCCAGCAAUGCCGCGUGAGUGAUGAAGGCCUCAGGGUUGUGAAGCUCUUUUACCCGGGAUGAUAAUGACAGUACCGGGAGAAUAAGCUCCGGCUAACUCCGUGCCAGCCGCCGCGGUAA